This 273-nucleotide ribosomal RNA is filed under the name uncultured bacterium. RNAcentral describes it as "partial 16S ribosomal RNA". It matches the Rfam family "Bacterial small subunit ribosomal RNA", at positions 524 to 796 of the family's 1533-position model. The record is from RNAcentral.
UACGGAGGGUGCAAGCGUUAAUCGGAAUUACUGGGCGUAAAGCGCGCGUAGGCGGAUUGAUAAGUCAGAUGUGAAAUCUCGGGGCUCAACCCCGAAACUGCGUCUGAAACUAUCAAUCUAGAGUUAUGGAGGGGGAAGUGGAAUUUCGCAUGUAGGGGUAAAAUCCGUAGAGAUGCGAAGGAACACCAGAGGCGAAGGCGACUUCCUGGCCAUUAACUGACGCUGAGGCGCGAAAGCGUGGGGAGCAAACAGGAUUAGAUACCCCUGUAGUCC